GCCCCCAUGGUGUAGCGGUUAGCACGCCAGGUUUUCAACCUGGUAGCAGGGGUUCGAUUCCCCUUGGGGGUA
RNAcentral lists this transfer RNA (72 nucleotides) under Solirubrobacterales bacterium. Its description in RNAcentral is "tRNA-Glu". It matches the Rfam family "tRNA". Rfam says of the family: Transfer RNA (tRNA) molecules are approximately 80 nucleotides in length. Their secondary structure includes four short double-helical elements and three loops (D, anti-codon, and T loops). Lineage: Bacteria; Bacillati; Actinomycetota; Thermoleophilia; Solirubrobacterales. The record is from RNAcentral. RNAcentral also lists the same sequence under 2 other names.